UUGUGGUAGUCCUGUUCCGCAUGCCGCCUAUCUGGGCCGCGCCAACAUGGGCUUCGUCCCUCCCACCGAAUCUCUUGUCGCUGCCCUUCGUUCUAUCGUUUCUUUCGUCCCUCUCCGCAUCCAAGUCUAGGGUUCCGCUCUCCUUGGCCAGGCCGCCGCCUAUGACCAUCGUGCUCACUCUCCCUGCUCUCGCACUGCUCAGCUGAUGCCCGCACACCUCUCCCCUCCGCCUUCACUCCCCUCCGUAUCGUUGGGAACUUGCCCACCAAAGUCCAAGUGGAGGAGGCGCCGCCAUGACCCAGUCCUCCCCUCCCUAUCCGUGACGACGGAGAGCUCGCAUGGAGGACAACGGAUGGGCGCCCGCAUCGUGCGAACCUAGCGUUGCUGAAGACGGUCGGCGUCCGUGCUCCGAAACUGGGGAGGGAGGCCUCGAUCUCGGUCUGCAGCAUUGGUGGCCCAGACGGAAGUAGUAAGCACGAGGGACAGCCGGCCGAAGGACCUGCAGACUUUGUGGUUCACUUGGACAAUCAUACAUUUCAGCAGGCACAACAGGAUGAAGCACUACUAGGAUGUAUUUGUUGUUGGCGUGUUCUUAGUUUUCCCAAGGGGAAUAACGUGGAUCACUUAUCAAUUUACUUGGCACUCAGCCAACCUCCGAUAUGGUUGGAGCCAAUCUUCAUGGCAGUUAUUUGCCGAAUCCGAAUACAUGUUUAAUUCUGGAGGAGAGCACAGGUUGCCAGCUAGCUCACCUUGGCUUGUUCGCUAAUCUUGAUGAUAUGGGGGCAGCAUAGCAGGGGUCAUGAACAAUGACAGCUGAUUCUGUCUGGUUGUGUUGAGGUCAACAACUCAACGUCACUUACAUCUGUGCUAUUUUCAUGAUUAAGGGGAAAAGGAGUGGUACUUAUGCUAUGGUCGUAAUUGAAUUGCACAUAACUCAUUUCAGUGAUUGGGCGAAUCCGUUAGCCGCUGAAGAUUCUUAUGUAAUUUACACACUAAGAUUUUCUGAUCCUUGUUACUAUGUUAGUAGUAGAGAUAAUCGUCGUUGCAGGAUAUAUGUAAUUUUUAAAAUUUGUUCUUAUCUUUGCCUCAUAAUCUAAAUGUUGUGCGAUAAGGUGUAUAUAGGUAAUCAGUAAUUUCUUGUACUCUUUAAUAAGGAAGGGCAUAAGGAUUUCUUUUUGCAGUAACCAUUAUGAACAAGAUAUGAGUUUUCUGUUCUAUAUUGCAAAUAAAUAAAUCUCUGCGAGAUAAACUAAAUUGGCACCUUCCAGAUUCAUGAUUCACAUAUUAUACAAGUUAUUAUCCAUUCAUUUAUCGAUGUGUUAUACUUUUUUACUUAGUUCCUAUACUUGAUGAAAAACAUGAAGUGAGAUUGUGAGUUCUGUUUAACCCAUGAAUGAAGUAAAAUUCUAUUUAGGUCACUAUUCUUAAAAAUCUUACACCAUUUGCUUGACAUAUUGUCACGCGUGCCACGUAUUUAGAUUUCCAACAGAAGUCUGUAAUCAAGCACCAGGAAAAAGAUCCUCAAAUUCUGAUUAUUUGAUUGCCUAUUCAAGGUACGUAUUUAUGGGAUUUUAUCUUUCGUUUUGCGCAUUGCUUUAUGAAGCGAUGUGAGUUCUUUGGAAGUUAUUAUAGAAAGUUUUCUCGUGAAAAAUCUUCCUCCAGUUCCAAAAGUUUCUUUAUGAAGUUAUAUAAUGACAAUUAGACUACUAAUAAUAUCACAUUUGCUGAUAGACUAUUGCUUCCUUGCUCUAAUAUGUGAUUGCACCUGAAAUGACAUUCACGUUCUGCUUCCUGGUUAGCUCUUGGUCAUCGUUACACAUGAAAUGACAUCAAGCUUUCCUUCAGUUCAUGAAAUUAGAUACCGGGGUAUUUGAAGAUGUGUCUAUGAUUCUGAGGUAAUAUUGAAAUAGUAUUAUAUUAUUAUUCCAUCCCCGACCUGCUGUCAGGUCCUAAAAGUUGAUUUUGUUUUGGUUAUGGCUUGUGUUGUAUCAAAAUAAGUAAGUAGAUUUAUGGUGAAGAUGAAGAUUGUUGUCAAGAUCGUGAUCCCUUGUUACUUAUGUAAGUCUUUCAAGAUGAGGCGACCAUUUCUUCUGUUAAGUCUUUCGAGAAGAGCUGACUAAAUCUUUAUUCAAUCGCUUGUUCAAAGCAACUAAUGGAAUUCUUUUGCCGGCCUCUUCGGAAAAAAUAUGUCCAUCAUCUAUGAAAACGAGCUCACGAAAUGUUGGCGUCGGAGAAGAUGGUCGGGUACUAGAACACACAAGGUGGAUCCUGGUGGCGCCGUCAGCUUGAGAUUGUAAAUUGUGCAACAGAAAUUAAGUUGAACAGAUUACAGUGGUUCAUGGUUGCCUCUCAAGAAUCCGCCUGCUAACUUUCUUUUGUACUAGAGUAUUGAACUGAAUGCGCAAAUUAUUGGAACGAGUUAAUGCUACUUACUCCGAUUCAUAUUACUUGCAGUUAAUAUGGAUGUAUUUAGAACUAAAAUGUUCUCAACGGUAUGACUCCUUUUAUUGCUUCAUUUUGAUUGCUUCAUGGCAGUACUCUUAGUGUGGUGGUCACAAUCGUUAUUGAUGCUAAAAUACUUUAGCUCUUCAUGUUCUGCUAUACCCUGCUUAAAAAGUUGUCAAAUAACAGAAUUUGUCAUGUACUCGCGGUCAAAAUUAAAUACUUCAAGUGAUGCUGUUGUGAAUGGCAUUGCAUAUCUAAGUUUUGCUGUCACAUAACGGAGUAUUUUAGCAUCAUGUUCAGUUGUUGUUUCCUGAAAUGCUUUAGCUCUUGUUCUCUGAAGCAUGGGGCCUUUCACUCACCAGGAUUGCUUCAUGACACAAACGCACCAUCAGAACAAUAGAUGUCCAGUGGAUGACGGCGGAUCGAGGCAUCAGGCACUUGGAGAUGCCGGUGUGAAUACGAGCCUACAGGUCUGGAUCAAUCUGGCCUCCAAGGACAAGGUCUGGAGCAGCAGCCUUCAGGCCCUGGGUGGUUCUAUACAUGCAUUUCAUCAGCGUUUCUCCAAACAAUUAGGAUCCGGGACUAACCAUUUAUUAUAUUUUACUCAUAGCAGAUUUCGAUAUCUAAUUCAAGAUAUAGUUACCUAGAAAUUGGGAAUGACAUUGGCUAUAUCAGUACAUGAUGAAAUCAUUUUUAAGAAGCACACUUGAUUUAUAUAAAACUGAGAAGAUGGUAUUGUACUGUAGCUUCCUUCUUGCAUCAAUGAUGAAGAGAUGUGCUUCUGUGAUCAUUGUUGAUAGUAUAGGGUCUUCCACUUUCAGGUUCUUAGGAAACACCUCUAAAGUACCUUCUUAACCUCUAAUGUUCUUCUGGAAACCCACCUAAUGCCUUCAUAUGUGUCCUGGUAUUUGGUGCUUAGUCAUUUACAGCAUAGUAUCAAGAUAGUGCUCUUGCUUCUUUCAUUCUUGUCAUUCAUUUCUUAUACUGCCAGCAACGUUUUCUCAUAUUAAGUUUACAAGGUCAUUUCUACUACUUACUACCAUUGUUAUUGCGAUGAGUCUCAUGCCCUUUUAACUUACAAUGUCACUGCUUUACAUUAAAAUAGUGUUGAUGGAGAAAUGAUGAAUUCCAGUUGGAGAGAAUAUUACGAGAGAUGACACAAAUUGCGGCAUAGUGAAAAUUGGGUGACUAAUUGAGUGAGAUAGCUGUUGUGUUAUAGCUGGUGAUAUUUUUUUUUCUUGGUGUGCCCGUAGUUUCCAUUUUAAGGAUCAAUACCACGAAACAAUACCUCUACACCAAGAGAAACAAAAACUUAAGGAUGUUAUUUGAGAGCCGGUAAAACCUGCAACUUUGGCAAAUAACAAUGGGCAGCAAAAGUAUAUGAACAUCUACAUGUAUUAUCUACUGCAGCUAACUGAAAGUUAUGGAUGGAUUUUUUUGAUCUCUUAGUGUUGUUCCUGUGUCCAGGCAAAAGAUAUCAGUACAGAAGCAUAAGCUAGGAUGCAUGUUUUUUUUUUUUGCUUCAAUGGUUUCUGUUUAUUCCUGGAAGUAUUAUCACAUUUUUGCAACGGAACAGUACAUGUAGAUCACCUUCUCGAAUAUAGAGCAAAAUAUAACUCAUGAUUUUCAACUUCUCAGGUGGUUUUCAACAUAGGGAAAUAUGAAAUUCUCAGGGGGACGAGGGCCGCCACUCUUGAAGCCACCGCAGAAAGAACAGAGAGGGGAUGCCUCCCCAAUUCACUCCACAUCCAGCAGAUCCACGCCGGGUAGAGAGAGGGGCGGGCGGAGGGAUAGUGUGGAAGGCUCCCCAGGCUGAGGGAGAGGUGGUGCCUGGAGGCGCAUGACGCUUCCUUGAUGCCCUCCACAGGUCAGCAGGAAGGACAUGCCACUGGUUCGACCACAACUGGAAGAAGAUAGAGGAGCAUGUCCGCACAAAGACUACGGUACAGAAUCUAGGUGUCGCCGCCGGGGCUGCCGCACCCAAGUCAUGCUCAGAAGUACUUCAAUGUUUGUAUGACACAAACACUGGUAAGAGUAACACAGGUACAACAUUCAAAAUCUACUAACUUGUCUAGCAAAAAAAUAACAUUUAAGUUGCCUCCGCAAAUGCGAGAGCUGAUCAUAACUUUAUGGGUACAUCUUAUUUGGUUACUUUUUGUGUUAUUUUUAAAGAAUUUUAUGUAUGUAAGUGUGCCAGACUUGCUGAUGCAUGUGCUUUCAGUUUUAUAGUGGAAGAAAGUAACUGUUUGAUCGAAGCUAUCUUAUGAAGCUUCUGCCUACCCUACAAAAUGAGUAGUUGCAAUAAAAUGCCACUUGUGGGAGGAAAGAUACGAGAAAUAAUGAUAGGUUUUAGAGCAAAUGGUUGUAUGCAUUGGAGGAAAUUUUUAUAAUGUAAUUUUGUAUACCUAUGCUACUCAUAUAAUAUUUUCUUAUUAAGAAUAUCUACCAAUGUAUAAAAAAACAGAGGCACUAUACUUUAUUCUUCUGUUUGCAUUUGUUGGGAUCAGAAAAGUUGUUCUUGUUAUAGACACACUUACACAAUGAAACUGCUGCUAAUUGUGUUAUGCAAAGAUGGCAACAUGGUGAAAGAUC
Non-coding RNA from Lolium perenne, 5037 nucleotides. The record is from RefSeq and is a predicted model, not a curated record. NCBI's taxonomy places the organism in Eukaryota, Viridiplantae, Streptophyta, Magnoliopsida, Poales, Poaceae.